RNAcentral lists this long non-coding RNA (1718 nucleotides) under Equus caballus (horse). RNAcentral's name for it is "lncRNA (ENSECAG00000058330.1)". Lineage: Eukaryota; Metazoa; Chordata; Mammalia; Perissodactyla; Equidae. The record is from RNAcentral.
AAUGUUUAGGGUGGGAGAGAAUAGUGACUCCUAAUUUAUUUUGUUCUACAAUAAGAAACAGCUCUCCUAGAGAACAUCCAGCUUAGGUGCUGGAUGAGUGGAGAGCCUGAAGUCUUGGUCCAGCCAGAGUAUGUCUCCUUCCUGUAUUGCAGAGAUUCAUGCCUCCUACCAUCUCUCUAUUUGGAUCUGUGCUGCUUGAGUUGGCAACUCCAGCAGUAUUAGGCCAUACAAGAGAGUUUUUAGCAACUAACCCAGGAUAAAGUGGGAAGGAGGCCUCUAGAUGACAUAAAAUGGAGGCUCAUCAAGGAAGUCUUGAGGAAAACAGUAUAACAGCACUCUGCCAAGGGGAUGAGACGUAUCUAGUAAUCUUCCAAGUAGAAGGUAUGGAUCUGUAGGUAUGGUCCUGCUUCAUUUCCCCAAAGUGAUACAUCAUUCAUAGGCCAGAACAAGAAAUUGGGGAAGACACAGGUACACCAAAGUAUGUCAGUGAUCAGAAGUGUACCGUAAAGUAGUAGUGCCCAGACUCAUUAAUCAGGAACAGCCAUGUGGUAUACACAGGAACUUGCAUUCUUUUACUUUACAAGUUACAUGAUCGAUUCACCUUGAUGCAAUAAUGUGUCCUCGUGUUGGUCCAUGAGCUUGACUAAGGUUGUUUCAUUGGCCAGAGGUCCCUAUGAAGAUGACCUAAGUUACCUCUAGAGAGUCUGUCAUUUCUGCUCUGUCCUCCAGCUCAUCUCUCCCCACUUCCAAACCCCCAUCCCCUCUUUGAAGGAGCUGGUAUGCAAAAUCCCACUCCAAUUAGAGAGAGAAGAUUGAAUCUCAUGAGCCUUUAUUACAUUGUUUAUUAGGGAAAUCCUGAAAUAGCCCAAACCUUAUAAGUUCCAAUAUCUAUAGAUAUGAAUCCAGGUACUGGGUCACUGUCUGGGGACACAUAAACCUUGGAUGUGGGGAGGCCUGGUCUAGGAGACAGGAGACUCAUUAUUAUAGCAAGGAUUGUAAAAAGUAUGCUCCAUACCUGGGGAUGAAUGUGUGUCUUGGUCAGAAACUGUCCUUGUGGGAAACCAAGGCCAUUAGCAGUAGGCAGUGUCCCCCUCUGCUACAUGUGUUUUGUUAGUGAUGAAGUGUGCCAUUUCAGCAAACUAAUUGACUACCUUAACCUCUUAGGAGGCAGACCCUUCCUGAGGAUGAUUGGUGGCAAGGUAAGCUGAGUAUUGCUUAAGGCUAGAGCUUUGUUGGAGUUAGGGUCUUGCUCCUCUAACUGCCAUGCUAGAGAAGCAGCAUCAGCAUCGCCUGGGAGCUUGUCAGAAAAGCAGAGUCUCAGGCCCCACCCAGACCUACUGGAUCAAAACUGCAUUUGGCAAGAUUCUCAGGAGACUCAGUCAGCUGAUUUUAAGAUAGGGAGAGUAUCUGGAUUACCCAGGAGGAGCCAAUGAAGUCACAAGGGUCCUGGAAAGUAGAAGAGGGAGGCAGGAGGUCAGAAUCAGAGGAGAUGUGAGAAGAACUAGACUUGUCCUCGCUGGCUUUGAAGAUGGAGGAAGCGGGCCAAGAGUCGAGGAUGUGAGUGACCUCUAAUAGCGGGAAAAGGGGAAGAAACAGAUUCUCCCCCAGAGCCUCCAGAAGGGAACACAGCCCUGCUGAUGCUUUGAUUUUUGCCCAGUGAGACCUGUGUUGUUCUUACCUACAGAGCUGUAUGAUAAUAAAUUUAUGUUGUUUUAAGC